This 293-nucleotide ribosomal RNA is filed under the name uncultured bacterium. RNAcentral's name for it is "partial 16S ribosomal RNA". It matches the Rfam family "Bacterial small subunit ribosomal RNA", at positions 505 to 796 of the family's 1533-position model. The record is from RNAcentral.
GUGCCAGCAGCCGCGGUAAUACGGAGGGUGCGAGCGUUGUCCGGAAUCACUGGGCGUAAAGGGCGCGUAGGUGGCUUGGCAAGCGUGUGGUGAAAGCCCGGGGCUCAACCCCGGGUCUGCCGUGCGAACUGCUAUGGCUUGAGCACUGUAGAGGCAGGUAGAAUUCCGGGUGUAGCGGUGGAAUGCGUAGAGAUCCGGAAGAAUACCGGUGGCGAAGGCGGCCUGCUGGGCAGUGGCUGACACUGAGGCGCGACAGCGUGGGGAGCAAACAGGAUUAGAAACCCCCGUAGUCC